GUGAUUGGGGGCUUUGUAGAGCAGUCACUGGAGACCUACCAUAUGUGUAAUUGAAGGUCCUGGAGGGGCGGCCUGUGGAAUCAAUAAUGAGGGUCCUAGUGGGAUGAUGGGCUAGUGGGAUAAGUGGGAGUGGGGCUUAUGGGGCUCAGUGGUUGUGCGGUCCGAAAUUUGUGAGGUCCCUGUUGUGUUCAGUGAAAUGGGGGCUGGAGAACUCUCAGGUGGGUGGGUGGGGAACUGGGAGCCUUGUGAAUGCUGAAGGUUGGUCCGUGGGGUGGGGUGGCUGGGGGUUCAGUCAUGCAAGGUCUGUUGGACCUCGUGUGUGAUUGAGGCCAUCUUUGGUGAUUAUGGGCCUGUGUGGUUGUGUUUGUGGGUGUGGGUAGUCUCAAUGAGUGCUGACCAUGCGUUGGCUCAGGCAAGACUCCCACAGAGUGACUUCUGUUAAAUGACCAUAUUCUCUUUUGUUCUUUGGUCUUUCUCACCCAACACAUCACUUUGUUGGUCAGUGACGGCUCCUUUUACCGAAAUAUUUCCUCCCUUAAGCGUUCUCAGCUGGUUCAGCCUCAUUGCCCUCCUCUAUCCCCGAACCGCCUUCAGCUCUCUCUAGCUCCAGCCGUUUGAGUGUGGUGCUCCCUGAUGGGCAUGCUCUUCCCACAGGCGUCCACAGUGGGUUCCAUCCUCUGUUCAGGACUCAGCUAAAAGUCAUUUCCAGGAUGCCUUUUCUGGCCGUGGGAAGGAGCACCCUCCACCCACCCCUUCCUCUGUCACGUUUAAAAUUUCCUGUGAGCACUCUUUUAGUCUGACGUUACUUUAUUUACUUGUUUUCCAUCUUAGAAUGCAUUUCUUAGAGGACAGGGACCCUGUCUUGGGACCUUAAGUCGUCUCUCCCAUGUGUUCAGAACAGGGCCUGGUUGUGAGAGGCAUUCAGCAAACUGCUGCUCUCCUGGCCCGUAAACAAGACUGUGCAUGUGUGUGUGAGUGUGUGUGUACCUGAGAGUGCUGAAUGUGCAUGUGCGUGUGAGGGCGGGGUGCAGGAGUACGUCGGGAUCCUGAAGGAGGAAACGAGAGUGGCAGUUUGGGAUGUUAGUAUAGUCGGCACAUUCCCUUUUCCAGAGGUGAGAGAAGAUCCGUGCAUCAACCCCAAAGGGGUCCAAGCUAAACAGAAGCUCCUGGGGCACGUGGGCCUUGGAUCUCAGGGACCCCAGUGCCCACCGACCAGUCCACCGUGUCCAGUCUUCUUAAGUAGCCUGUCAGCCUGUGGAGACCAAGCUGGGAGCACCGGGAGCUUAGGUGCUCAGCAAACACCCUAG
RNAcentral lists this long non-coding RNA (1307 nucleotides) under Felis catus (domestic cat). RNAcentral describes it as "lncRNA (ENSFCAG00000053027.1)". The record is from RNAcentral. Lineage: Eukaryota; Metazoa; Chordata; Mammalia; Carnivora; Felidae.